GACGAACGCUGGCGGCGUGCUUAACACAUGCAAGUCGAACGGAAAGGCCCCUUUGGGGGUACUCGAGUGGCGAACGGGUGAGUAACACGUGAGUAACCUGCCCUUGACUUCGGGAUAACUUCAGGAAACUGGGGCUAAUACCGGAUAGGAAUCCUUGCUGCAUGGUGGGGGUUGGAAAGCUUCGGCGGUUUUGGAUGGACUCGCGGCUUAUCAGCUUGUUGGUGGGGUAGUGGCUUACCAAGGCUUGGACGGGUAGCCGGCCUGAGAGGGCGACCGGCGACAUUGGGACUGAGAUACGGCCCAGACCCCUACGGGAGGCAGCAGUGGGGAAUAUUGCACAAUGGGCGGAAGCCUGAUGCAGCAACGCCGCGUGCGGGAUGACGGCCUUCGGGUUGUAAACCGCUUUCAGCAGGGGCGAAGCUUGUGGUGACGGUACCUGCAGAAGAAGCACCGGCUAACUACGUG
This 465-nucleotide ribosomal RNA is filed under the name uncultured bacterium. RNAcentral's name for it is "partial 16S ribosomal RNA". It matches the Rfam family "Bacterial small subunit ribosomal RNA", at positions 28 to 507 of the family's 1533-position model. The record is from RNAcentral.